Molecule: ribosomal RNA, 876 nt
Filed under: Mariannaea sp. PGP9
Lineage: Eukaryota; Fungi; Ascomycota; Sordariomycetes; Hypocreales; Nectriaceae
Description: LSU rRNA
Rfam family: Eukaryotic large subunit ribosomal RNA
Source: RNAcentral
AACUUAAGCAUAUCAAUAAGCGGAGGAAAAGAAACCAACAGGGAUUGCCCUAGUAACGGCGAGUGAAGCGGCAACAGCUCAAAUUUGAAAUCUGGCCCUCGGGUCCGAGUUGUAAUUUGUAGAGGAUGCUUUUGGUGCGGUGCCUUCCGAGUUCCCUGGAACGGGACGCCAUAGAGGGUGAGAGCCCCGUCUGGUUGGACACCAAUCCUCUGUAAAGCUCCUUCGACGAGUCGAGUAGUUUGGGAAUGCUGCUCUAAAUGGGAGGUAUAUGUCUUCUAAAGCUAAAUAUUGGCCAGAGACCGAUAGCGCACAAGUAGAGUGAUCGAAAGAUGAAAAGCACUUUGAAAAGAGAGUUAAACAGUACGUGAAAUUGUUGAAAGGGAAGCGCUUAUGACCAGACUUGGGCUUGGUAGAUCAACCUGGGUUCUCCCUGGUGCACUCUUCCUCGUCCAGGCCAGCAUCAGUUCGCUGCGGGGGAUAAAGGCUUCGGGAAUGUGGCUCCCUCGGGAGUGUUAUAGCCCGUUGCGUAAUACCCUGCGGUGGACUGAGGUUCGCGUUCUGCAAGGAUGCUGGCGUAAUGGUCAUCAGCGACCCGUCUUGAAACACGGACCAAGGAGUCGUCUUCGUAUGCGAGUGUUCGGGUGUUAAACCCCUACGCGUAAUGAAAGUGAACGCAGGUGAGAGCUUCGGCGCAUCAUCGACCGAUCCUGAUGUUCUCGGAUGGAUUUGAGUAAGAGCAUACGGGGCCGGACCCGAAAGAAGGUGAACUAUGCCUGUAUAGGGUGAAGCCAGAGGAAACUCUGGUGGAGGCUCGCAGCGGUUCUGACGUGCAAAUCGAUCGUCAAAUAUGGGCAUGGGGGCGAAAGACUAAUCGAA